GGACCAUCCACAUGAGUUGACGAGCAUUAUUAGGCAGGCCCUAAUCUUAAGAUCGAUAAUCGAUCGAGAUGAAGGUUGGGUAGAAACUGAUCUCGUAGUGCUGUCUUAUCUCGAAAAGUGAUCUAACCUUAUCAGGCCAUUAUUGGGUGCUCAGUUUUAUCCCAAGAAGGAGAGCUUAAGUCCGAUAUCGGGUAAUCCCCGUAACAUAUGG
RNAcentral lists this long non-coding RNA (211 nucleotides) under Elaeis guineensis (African oil palm). RNAcentral's name for it is "long non-coding RNA (EGUI_LNC022674)". The record is from RNAcentral. Lineage: Eukaryota; Viridiplantae; Streptophyta; Magnoliopsida; Arecales; Arecaceae.